RNAcentral lists this ribosomal RNA (1011 nucleotides) under Triticum aestivum (bread wheat). RNAcentral's name for it is "partial small subunit ribosomal RNA". Lineage: Eukaryota; Viridiplantae; Streptophyta; Magnoliopsida; Poales; Poaceae. The record is from RNAcentral.
AUGGAGCUUCUCAAGAUGGCGCGGCAACGUACGGUGGCCAUGGCGUUGGUCGUCGGAGUCUUGGCGUCCAUCACUAUCGAUCAGGUGCAAUCCAUCGGCGUGUGCAACGGCAAGGUAGGCGACAACCUGCCAUCGCGGGCCGAGGUGGUGCAGCUCUACAAGUCCCUGGGAAUCGGCGCGAUGCGCAUCUACGAGCCGGAACCCGAGACGCUCCUGGCCCUCGACGGCACCGAGAUCGACCUCAUCAUGGACGUGGGUGGCGGCUUCGCCGCCAUCGCCUCCGACCCUGACGCCGCGGCCGACUGGGUCCGUGACAACGUGCUUGCCUUCCCGGGCGUCCGCAUCAAGUACAUUGCGGCCGGCAACGAGGUGGAGGGCAGCGACACGGACAGCAUCGUCCCGGCCAUCAAGAACCUCAACGCCGCGCUCGCCGCGGCCAGCCGCACUGACGUCAAGGUGUCCACGGCGGUCAAGAUGAGCGUGCUCGGCUCCUCCUCGCCGCCCUCCGAGGGCGCGUUCAAGGACGCGUACAUGACGGAGGUGGCCAAGAUGCUCAAGGCCACCGGAGCCCCGCUCCUCGCCAACGUGUACCCCUACUUCGCCAAAAGGGACACCCCGGACAUCAACCUCGGCUUCGCGCUCUUCCAGCAAAGCCCCAGCACGGUCAGCGACAGCGGUCUCACCUACACGAACCUCUUCGACGCCAUGGUCGACGCGCUUUACUCGGCCUUGGAGAAGGCGGGUGCGCCGGAGGUGCCCAUCGUAGUCUCGGAGAGCGGCUGGCCGUCAGCCGGCGACGACCUGGCAACCGUCGCUAACGCGCAGGCGUACAACCAGGGGCUGAUCGACCACGUCGGCAAAGGCACGCCCAAGAGGGCGGUGCCGCUGGAGGCGUACAUCUUCGCCAUGUUCAACGAGAACCAAAAGGGAGGGGCCGUGACAGAGAAGAACUUUGGGCUGUUCAACGGCCCCGACAAGACGCCGGUGUACCCUAUAAAGUUCAACAAUUAG